Molecule: ribosomal RNA, 482 nt
Filed under: uncultured bacterium
Lineage: Bacteria
Description: partial 16S ribosomal RNA
Rfam family: Bacterial small subunit ribosomal RNA
Source: RNAcentral
AUUGAACGCUGGCGGCAUGCUUUACACAUGCAAGUCGAACGGUAACAGGCCGCAAGGUGCUGACGAGUGGCGAACGGGUGAGUAAUGCAUCGGAACGUGCCCAGUCGUGGGGGAUAACUACUCGAAAGAGUAGCUAAUACCGCAUACGAUCUAUGGAUGAAAGCGGGGGACCGUAAGGCCUCGCGCGAUUGGAGCGGCCGAUGUCAGAUUAGGUAGUUGGUGGGGUAAAGGCUCACCAAGUCAACGAUCUGUAGCUGGUCUGAGAGGACGACCAGCCACACUGGGACUGAGACACGGCCCAGACUCCUACGGGAGGCAGCAGUGGGGAAUUUUGGACAAUGGGCGCAAGCCUGAUCCAGCAAUGCCGCGUGCAGGAAGAAGGCCUUCGGGUUGUAAACUGCUUUUGUACGGAACGAAACGGCUCUGGUUAAUACCCGGGGCUAAUGACGGUACCGUAAGAAUAAGCACCGGCUAACUACGUG